This is an RNA transcript of Felis catus (domestic cat), 3838 nucleotides long. It is a transcript of the gene named proline rich 22, with no coding region annotated. The transcript is spliced from 5 exons. The record is from RefSeq and is a predicted model, not a curated record. NCBI's taxonomy places the organism in Eukaryota, Metazoa, Chordata, Mammalia, Carnivora, Felidae.
UGCCGCCCGCCGCUGCCGCCCAGAGAGGCUCAAACCGCAAGGAAGGCACAAGGGCUCACGAGGCGGGGGCCUCGGCCUGCGUGGGUUUGGGUCCGGGCGGGCUGCCUGGAGGAAGGCGCUCUGGAGCAGUCCAGAGCAUUGCCGGAGGCAGCACAUGGGAGUCCGGGGUCUGCCCUGCCGUCUGUGAGGCCUGUCUCUGGCCGUCCCCCCCACAACCCCUGACGCCGGAAUCCCGACCAGUGGGCGGGCCGCAGCCUGGAACCCGCUGCCCAGAGUAACCAGGCAAACAGAACUCUGUAGGACUCUGAACCUGUUCUCCGGGUGGGCCGCCAGUGCUCCCACCUGCUGCCCUCCUGGCCUGCCCGGGCCAGGACCCCUGCCUCCCCAUGCAGCACCCCAAACCCUUCUAUGCGCCCACAGCUCCCCAAGAAGGCUUCAGCCCCCAGGGCCCAGAUGGCACUGAGGGGCCAGGCAGUCAGCCUCUCCCCACCUGCACGGAGCCUCUUCCUACUGUGGGUUCCUCCAACCUGUAUCAGCCCCUAAACCCGGAGAAAGAGGUGUUUCCAGCCCCUCCGGCAGGUUUCCAGAUGGCACCCUGCGGGUGCUUCUUUGACCCCCGCAUCUACCGAAUCGAGUGGGCCACCACUGACUUCGGCCAGUCGUCCCUGUACAGGCUGACGGCAGUGGGCGGUCGGGGGCCCCCCGGGGGUCCGGCGGGGGGCCCCGCCUCGCCAGGCACCUACCUCCUAGAGCCCCAGCACUACCUCAAAGCCCCAGUGCCGGCCCCACCACCCCCGCCCUACCCGCAUUACCUGCCCGUUCCCGGGGGCCCCCAGUACCUCGUGCCCUACUUCCCCCCCGAGGGGCCGGGGCCGGAGGCUCUGGGCUUUGUGGGGGAAGGGGGGCCCCCCGCCUUCAUGGAGCUGCCCCCACCCCUGCUCAAGGCCGGCCCAGGGCCGCCCCCACCUGCCCCCAAGGAGAACAAGCUGCCUCCCUUGCUCAUCACGCUCCCCGCCGAGGCCGCGCUGCCCCCCGGCGCCUAUGGCCACCUCAAGGGCAGCCUCAGUCAGCUCCAUGGGCCCGCGUGCCCGAGAUCCUGGACGCCGUGUCCAACGUGGGCUGCCUUUUCAGCUUCAAGGCGCUUGAUGAGGAGCCGGCGCCCCGCCCAGGGCCCCCCGCCGCCAGCACCGUGGCCCCUGCCUUGCGACCUGAGCUGCCCGGCAGGAGGAAGGCCGGCACCUCGUCCGCCAAGAAGGGGAGGCAGGGAGGCAAGGGCAAGCAGCCUGCGGGCCCGGCCAGCGCCGCCCCCUCGGGGCCCAGGCAGCACCUGGGAGCCGGCCCCCAUUAAAAUGGAUUUGACCCCUCGGCUCACUGUCGGCUCGGUCGCAUCAGGGCCCGGGGCCGGUGGGCUGAGGCUGGCUGUGGGGGGCUGUCCCCUCCUCCGUCCUGUCGCGGGGGCGCUGGUUCGCACGCGAAGGCCCAGCAGCCCCUCGGCGCCUCCUGGGUGCUGGGCUUCCAGAGCUGAGCUGCGGAGGCUUAGAGUCCCGGGGAAUCCUAAACCCCCCCUCUCCGAGCCCCGGAAAAUUGGGAGUCAGCCUGCAGGGAUGGGCGCUUCUGGAAGGUGGGGAGAUGCCGUCCGUUUCUGUAAGGAUCUGUUGCCCGAGUGGUGAACGGGUUGCCCAGAGAGGGGUGGGAGAUGAGGCCUCCCCCCACCCCCCGCGUUCUCCCCCUGCAGAGGAGGAAGGGAACCUCCUGCCCCAGGGCCUGGGCUGGGUCCCUGGGACCUUCGUUGUUGGGCUCUGCCGGGGUAGCCCUGGGGGUGGCUGGCGUGGGCCCCCCUUCCCUGAACCCUCAUUCCCAAGCUCGGGGGAGAGACAGCUGCUGGGACCGUGCUGCGGGCUGUGUGGCCGCGUCUGCGCUUAACCCGCCCGGCCCUGUUCUGGGCCUGGACAGAGAGGCCGGGAGCUCACUUCGCCCAGCUUCCUUCUGAGGUCCCCUCUCCCCGCAGCCCCAUCUGGGGUAUCUUUGAGACGAAACUCCAGGGCAUUCGGUGAAGGGAAGGCCCUGGCACAUGACGUAAGAGGAGGGGUUCGGUUUCCUUGGAGAAAUGUCCGCUGCCAAGAGACGCCCACCCAGGGAGGGCGGGGUAGGUGUGCGCGUGGAGGUUCCCCACCACUGUAUCGCGACUGUUUGGGACAACUGAGGACGCCCACAAUAUACACCUAAGAAUAAUCGGGAAAGUCAUGGGACUUAGGACGGGAUGGCUGUCCCAGGCCGCCUGGGGUUCAGAAUGAGGCGGUGGGUGGGGAGGGAAACCCCGGUGAACGGGUAGGUAGACUACACGUACCCGUGUACAUUGUAUAUACGCGUGUGCACACGUCUGUGCACACGUGUACGUGCUACCUACAUGCCUGUGUAGAACAGGCAUGCAUGUCUAUACACGUGUAUAGGUCUGUGCCCGUGUGUGUGUAACCUGGGUGAAUACACGCUAUGGGUGUAUACGUGCAUUGCACGCACAUGCGUGGACACGUGCAUACGUACGCACACGAGUCCCAGGUAUACACGUACACAUGCGAAAUCUGCCCGACAUGUUCGUGCACAUAGCAAAACACACGUGUACGUGUUUGUAUACACGUUAGGGUUUGUACCCAGGAAAUGCAAUCCCGCAGGUCGCGGUCUCCUACAGACAUCCCCCCACUUGUACUUGGGCCUUGUCCUCUACAGGACACGUUGCCGCGUCUCCUGCUUUUCGGAGACUUGCCUCUUGUCCCCCCGAUGCCUGUGCUGGUUUAUGUCACCGGCCUGCCCACCUCUUGUCCCAGCCCAUGUAGGUGCCACGUGCAGAGGAACUCUGACGUGAGGACGUGGAGAGAGACGGUGACGGUGGGUGUCGGGAAAACAAACCACACCUGAUACGCGCUGCCGCUGGCUUUUUUCCAGAAUGCUUUGUUUUAAGACAACUCUGGGCUCCUCCGCUGUGCGCUCAGCGCCUGCCUUGGAAACACGGGCAAAGAUUUCUGAGUCUCCUGCACAGAUUCAUCCAGAACUCCUUGAGCCUGAGGCCCUUCUCGGUGUGCAGCAGUUUGGGGAUCAUGUAGGCCGACCACACGGACAGCAGCAUGGCCAUUAUGAGCGGGAUGAUGGUGACCGUCGUCGGGAUGAUGGACGGGGGCAAGGCCCCGUAGACGUAGACGCUGAAGGUGGUCUCCAGGGGACGUCUGGACACAGGCAUGCACAGGGAGAACAUCAGUGUGAAGACAGAGGCAGAAACUGCGGUGUGUGUCUACAGGCCAAGGAACGCCAAAGGGGGCCAGCAAACCACGAGCGGCCAAGCCUGGCACAGAGUCUCGCUCUCAGAAGGAAACAGCCUUGCCAGCACGUUGGUCCCAGACGCCUGGGAAAGUUCCUCCAGAGCUGGGGAAGCAUAAAUCUCCGGUUCGUGGUGUUUUUGCUACAGCAGCCCCGGCCAGCUAAGACACCUGGGAAAACUGAAGAUACAGAGGAGACCCAGCCACCUUCCUGGGGCUUCUUGUUGGCAUGGCCACCGAGCGUGGUCGUGGCACCAAGAUGUGGUUGGGUGGGGGCAGGAGCUUUUCUGCCCCGUCUUCAGAUCCCAGGAUUUCAUAUAAAGGGGGAACCUCCCUGAAAACUCAACAGGUGCAUCAGGCUGCCUGCCCGAGCUGAAGACCCCUCUCUUCUGCACUAUUUGCUGGUGGACCCAGAAGGGAGGGAGCUGGGCUUGUAGACAAAAGAAGAGCAAGAAAAUUUUAAAGCAAGAGAGUCAAAGUAAUAGCCCAGCAAUAUGAAAAAUAAAGGACUGGGGCGCCUGGGGGGCUCA